RNAcentral lists this ribosomal RNA (274 nucleotides) under uncultured bacterium. RNAcentral describes it as "partial 16S ribosomal RNA". It matches the Rfam family "Bacterial small subunit ribosomal RNA", at positions 523 to 796 of the family's 1533-position model. The record is from RNAcentral.
AUACGGAGGGGGCUAGCGUUGUUCGGAAUUACUGGGCGUAAAGCGCGCGUAGGCGGAUCGGUUAGUUGGGGGUGAAAUCCCGGGGCUCAACCCCGGAACUGCCCUCAAUACUGCCAAUCUAGAGAUCGAGAGAGGUGAGUGGAAUUCCUAGUGUAGAGGUGAAAUUCGUAGAUAUUAGGAAGAACACCAGUGGCGAAGGCGGCUUACUGGCUCGAUACUGACGCUGAGGCGCGAAAGCGUGGGGAGCAAACAGGAUUAGAAACCCCAGUAGUCC